RNAcentral lists this long non-coding RNA (430 nucleotides) under Brachypodium distachyon (stiff brome). RNAcentral describes it as "long non-coding RNA (BDIS_LNC005290)". Lineage: Eukaryota; Viridiplantae; Streptophyta; Magnoliopsida; Poales; Poaceae. The record is from RNAcentral.
UCUCGUGCCGAUCCUCUGCUACUCCGCCCCCCGCCGCCCUCGCCUCCGGCGCCGUCGUCCCUCUCUUCCCUCCCGCCGCUCCUCCGCCGUCGUCCUCCCCGGCCGCCGCACAGAUCUGGCACGAGCUCGCACUUCCCACCCCCAUUUCCCCCAGCAGCUCGCCGCCUAGGUCGGUGCCCCGACCUCAGUCGCCCUCCUCUCUACCGUCGCCUGCCAGCCUGCGCCCCAGCCCGGUAGCUCAGCUUGUGGCCGCCAGUUGCCUUCUUCCAAGCCCGUGGCCGAAACCAAGUAAAGUAUUUGCACAGUUAAGUUACACGCACCACAACUGCGUAUCCCCGUGGGUUUUAAUACAUUCUGAGACAAACAUGGAAAUAUGACCUGAUAGUUUGGUUCAAGGAAAAAAGUUCAUAUUAUCAUGUUUGUAAGCUGG